RNAcentral lists this ribosomal RNA (253 nucleotides) under uncultured bacterium. RNAcentral describes it as "partial 16S ribosomal RNA". It matches the Rfam family "Bacterial small subunit ribosomal RNA", at positions 524 to 776 of the family's 1533-position model. The record is from RNAcentral.
UACGUAGGGUGCGAGCGUUGUCCGGAUUUAUUGGGCGUAAAGAGCUCGUAGGCGGCUUGUCGCGUCGGAUGUGAAAGCCCGGGGCUUAACUCCGGGUCUGCAUUCGAUACGGGCAGGCUAGAGUGUGGUAGGGGAGAUCGGAAUUCCUGGUGUAGCGGUGAAAUGCGCAGAUAUCAGGAGGAACACCGGUGGCGAAGGCGGUUCUCUGGGCAUUACCUGACGCUGAGGAGCGAAAGUGUGGGGAGCGAACAGG